AGAGUUUGAUUCUGGCUCAGGAUGAACGCUAGCUACAGGCUUAACACAUGCAGGUCGAGGGGUAGCAGGGUAGCAAUACCGCUGACGACCGGCGCACGGGUGAGUAACACGUAUCCAACCUUCCCAUAACUCAGGGAUAGCCUUUCGAAAGAAAGAUUAAUACCUGAUAGUACUUUUUCAAGGCAUCUUGAGAAAGUUAAAGAUUUAUUGGUUAUGGAUGGGGAUGCGUUCCAUUAGAUAGUUGGUGAGGUAACGGCUCACCAAGUCUUCGAUGGAUAGGGGUUCUGAGAGGAAGGUCCCCCACAUUGGUACUGAGACACGGACCAAACUCCUACGGGAGGCAGCAGUGAGGAAUAUUGGUCAAUGGGCGAGAGCCUGAACCAGCCAAGUAGCGUGAAGGAUGAAGGUCCUAUGGAUUGUAAACUUCUUUUAUAGUAGAAUAAAGUGAUCCACGUGUGGAUUUUUGUAUGUAUACUAUGAAUAAGGAUCGGCUAACUCCGUGCCAGCAGCCGC
This 513-nucleotide ribosomal RNA is filed under the name uncultured bacterium. Its description in RNAcentral is "bacterial SSU rRNA". It matches the Rfam family "Bacterial small subunit ribosomal RNA", at positions 8 to 518 of the family's 1533-position model. The record is from RNAcentral.